RNAcentral lists this ribosomal RNA (483 nucleotides) under uncultured bacterium. RNAcentral's name for it is "partial 16S ribosomal RNA". It matches the Rfam family "Bacterial small subunit ribosomal RNA", at positions 28 to 507 of the family's 1533-position model. The record is from RNAcentral.
GAUGAACGCUGGCGGCGUGCCUAACACAUGCAAGUCGAACGGAGUCGUUUUGGAAAUCUCUUCGGAGAUGGAAUUCUCGACUUAGUGGCGGACGGGUGAGUAACGCGUGAGCAAUCUGCCUUUAAGAGGGGGAUAACAGUCGGAAACGGCUGCUAAUACCGCAUAAAGCAUUAAAUUCGCAUGUUUUUGAUGCCAAAGGAGCAAUCCGCUUUUAGAUGAGCUCGCGUCUGAUUAGCUAGUUGGCGGGGUAACGGCCCACCAAGGCGACGAUCAGUAGCCGGACUGAGAGGUUGAACGGCCACAUUGGGACUGAGACACGGCCCAGACGCCUACGGGAGGCAGCAGUGGGGAAUAUUGCGCAAUGGGGGAAACCCUGACGAAGCAACGCCGCGUGAUUGAAGAAGGCCUUCGGGUUGUAAAGAUCUUUAAUCAGGGACGAAACAAAUGACGGUACCUGAAGAAUAAGCUCCGGCUAACUACGUG